This 252-nucleotide long non-coding RNA is filed under the name Physcomitrium patens. RNAcentral describes it as "long non-coding RNA (PPAT_LNC003695)". Lineage: Eukaryota; Viridiplantae; Streptophyta; Bryopsida; Funariales; Funariaceae. The record is from RNAcentral.
ACUUAGUAGAAGUUUUCUUCAGCAUUUUGAACAUUGUUGUUUGCGAUGUAACUAUUAGAGCAUAAGAUUUACUUUAGUAAGCAAGAAAGUAGUGUUAGUAGAGAUAAGGAGUAAGAAGCAAAUAUUUUACAAUAUCAAUAGAAAGAGUGAAGAGAGCUAUGAACAGAAAAGAAAGCUACCAUAAUGUGAGAGCUAAGAGUAGUUUGAGGUUGUCGUCCUUAGUAGUUUUACCAAUAUGCAACCAAUGAAGUU